RNAcentral lists this ribosomal RNA (119 nucleotides) under Lepisosteus oculatus (spotted gar). The record is from RNAcentral. Lineage: Eukaryota; Metazoa; Chordata; Actinopteri; Semionotiformes; Lepisosteidae.
GUCAGCAGCCAUGUCAUCCUGCAACUCACAUCUGGCAACGAACUGAAGCUAAGCAGUUGUGAGCCUGGGCAGUACCUGGAUGUGAGACUUCCUGGGAAAAACUAAGGUUGCCGCUGGAA